This is a long non-coding RNA of Oncorhynchus tshawytscha (Chinook salmon), 1470 nucleotides long. RefSeq lists it as uncharacterized. The record is from RefSeq and is a predicted model, not a curated record. The transcript is spliced from 2 exons. Lineage: Eukaryota; Metazoa; Chordata; Actinopteri; Salmoniformes; Salmonidae.
UAUUUUUUCGACACUCAGUAAUCUUUAUGGUUGGACUAUAUAUGUCAAUUUAUUAUAUAAGAGUGACAGAGCAAAAAAAUAAACAUGUUUUAUAUAUAUAUAUAUAUAUCUAUAUAUGUAUAUGUAUAUAGCUUACUUGUGGGUAUGAUGUGGGUGUUACACGUUUCAUAGGCUGAUCUGUAAAGAUAGUGGACUCUCUCAAUCUUUACUGGGACGGUUGCAGGGGUAGAAUAAUUUUAAUGUUCCGAAGGAGAAGAGAGAGCUGCUUUAGUCGUAGCAACCUGGACUCUCGAUGCCCGUCCGCUCUUCAAAAAUCAGCAGUGAACUCUGACCUUCCAUGAUGCUUAUACAUGCACAGCGGAGAGGAGUGGCACUUAUGAUAGGCAAUGGUAGACACACAAAGGGGAACCAAUCAGCCAAAACCAAAUGUAUCCAUAGAGGGGUGCAUUGCAGGCUGGUCUAGAAGGGUAACAGCAGACGCCAGCUCCCAGCGUCAUUACAGGAUUCUAAUAUCCCUGUGUAGGUGAAUAGUUGGACCAAACUGGACAAGCUUCUAUCUAUCCUCCAUCCUUCAACCAUUCAAAAGAAGAGGGGAAAAGAACGGUGGAAGUCAGAGGAGACCAAUACAGAUGUGUUCUGUUGUUCUGAAGAGAACAGCUGAUGUGUUAUGUUGUUCUGAAGAGAACAGUGGAAGUCAGAUGUGUUCUGUUGUUCUGAAGAGAACAGUGGAAGUCAGAUUUGUUCUGUUGUUCUGAAGAGAACAGUGGAAGUCAGAAGUGUUCUGUUGUUCUGAAGAGAACAGUGGAAGUCAGAUGUGUUCUGUUGUUCUGAAGAGAACAGUGGAAGUCAGAUGUGUUCUGUUGUUCUGAAGAGAACAGGGGAUGUCAGAUGUGUUCUGUUGUUCUGAAGAGAACAGUGGAUGUCAGAUGUGUUCUGUUGUUCUGAAGAGAACAGUGGAAGUUGGAGGAGACCAAUACAGAUGUUCUGAAGAGAACAGUGGAAGUCAGAUGUGUGCUGUUCUUCUGAAGAGAACAGUGGAAGUCAGAUGUGUUCUGUUGUUCUGAAGAGAACAGUGGAUGUCAGAUGUGUUAUGUUGUUCUGAAGAGAACAGUGGAUGUCAGCUGAGUUCUGUUGUUCCGAAGAGAACAGUGGAUGUCAGAUGAGUUCUGUUGUUCUGAAGAGAACAGUGGAAGUUGGAGGAGACCAAUACAGAUGUUCUGAAGAGAACAGUGGAAGUCAGAUGUGUGCUGUUGUUCUGAAGAGAACAGUGGAAGUCAGAUGUGUGCUGUUGUUCUGAAGAGAACAGUGGAAGUCAGAUGUGUGCUGUUGUUCUGAAGAGAACAGUGGAAUUCAGAUGUGUGCUGUUGUUCUGAAGAGAACAGUGGAAGUCAGAGGAGACCAAUACAGAUGUUCUGAAGUCAGAUGUUUUCUGUUGUUCUGAAGAGAACAGUGGAAGUCAGAGGAGACCAA